UAGUGGCGAACGGGUGAGUAACACGUGGGCAAUCUGCCCUUCACUCUGGGACAAGCCCUGGAAACGGGGUCUAAUACCGGAUAACACUCUUCNCUGCAUGGGGGAGGGUUGAAAGCUCCGGCGGUGGAGGAUGAGCCCGCGGCCUAUCAGCUUGUUGGUGGGGUGAUGGCCUACCAAGGCGACGACGGGUAGCCGGCCUGAGAGGGCGACCGGCCACACUGGGACUGAGACACGGCCCAGACUCCUACGGGAGGCAGCAGUGGGGAAUAUUGCACAAUGGGCGGAAGCCUGAUGCAGCGACGCCGCGUGAGGGAUGACGGCCUUCGGGUUGUAAACCUCUUUCAGCAGGGAAGAAGCGUGAGUGACGGUACCUGCAGAAGAAGCGCCGGCUAACUACGUGCCAGCAGCCGCGGUAAUACGUAGGGCGCAAGCGUUGUCCGGAAUUAUUGGGCGUAAAGAGCUCGUAGGCGGCUUGUCGCGUCGGAUGUGAAAGCCCGGGGCUCAACCCCGGGUCUGCAUUCGAUACGGGCAGGCUGGAGUGUGGUAGGGGAGAUCGGAAUUCCU
RNAcentral lists this ribosomal RNA (564 nucleotides) under Streptomyces sp. 419D02. RNAcentral's name for it is "bacterial SSU rRNA". It matches the Rfam family "Bacterial small subunit ribosomal RNA", at positions 93 to 671 of the family's 1533-position model. The record is from RNAcentral. Lineage: Bacteria; Bacillati; Actinomycetota; Actinomycetes; Kitasatosporales; Streptomycetaceae. RNAcentral also lists the same sequence under 1 other name.